UGGCUCAGUGGUAGAGCACUUGCCUUGCAUGCAUGAAGCUCUGGGUUCGAUUCCUCAG
Molecule: transfer RNA, 58 nt
Filed under: Dipodomys ordii (Ord's kangaroo rat)
Lineage: Eukaryota; Metazoa; Chordata; Mammalia; Rodentia; Heteromyidae
Rfam family: tRNA
About the family: Transfer RNA (tRNA) molecules are approximately 80 nucleotides in length. Their secondary structure includes four short double-helical elements and three loops (D, anti-codon, and T loops).
Source: Rfam by way of RNAcentral